Molecule: ribosomal RNA, 497 nt
Filed under: uncultured bacterium
Lineage: Bacteria
Description: partial 16S ribosomal RNA
Rfam family: Bacterial small subunit ribosomal RNA
Source: RNAcentral
GAUGAACGCUGGCGGCGUGCCUAAUACAUGCAAGUCGAGCGAACAGACGAGGAGCUUGCUCCUUCGACGUUAGCGGCGGACGGGUGAGUAACACGUAGGUAACCUACCUAUAAGACUGGGAUAACUUCGGGAAACCGGAGCUAAUACCGGAUAAUAUUUCGAACCGCAUGGUUCGAUAGCGAAAGAUGGCUUUGCUAUCACUUAUAGAUGGACCUGCGCCGUAUUAGCUAGUUGGUAAGGUAACGGCUUACCAAGGCAACGAUACGUAGCCGACCUGAGAGGGUGAUCGGCCACACUGGAACUGAGACACGGUCCAGACUCCUACGGGAGGCAGCAGUAGGGAAUCUUCCGCAAUGGGCGAAAGCCUGACGGAGCAACGCCGCGUGAGUGAUGAAGGUCUUCGGAUCGUAAAACUCUGUUAUUAGGGAAGAACAAACGUGUAAGUAACUGUGCACGUCUUGACGGUACCUAAUCAGAAAGCCACGGCUAACUACGUG